This 462-nucleotide ribosomal RNA is filed under the name uncultured bacterium. Its description in RNAcentral is "bacterial SSU rRNA". It matches the Rfam family "Bacterial small subunit ribosomal RNA", at positions 338 to 795 of the family's 1533-position model. The record is from RNAcentral.
CCUACGGGUGGCUGCAGUCGAGGAUCUUCGGCAAUGGGCGCAAGCCUGACCGAGCGACGCCGCGUGCGGGAUGAAGGCCUUCGGGUUGUAAACCGCUGUCGUAGAGGAGGAAAUGCAGGGGGGUUCUCCCUUCUGUUUGACCUAUUCUAGGAGGAAGUACGGGCUAAGUUCGUGCCAGCAGCCGCGGUAAGACGAACCGUACAAACGUUACUCGGAAUUACUGGGCUUAAAGGGUGCGUAGGCUGCGCGGAAAGUUGGGUGUGAAAGCCCUCAGCUCAACUGGGGAAUUGCAUUCAAAACUACCGUGCUCGAGGGAGACAGAGGUAAGCGGAACUCAAGGUGGAGCGGUGAAAUGCGUUGAUAUCUUGAGGAACACCGGUGGCGAAGGCGGCUUACUGGGUCUCUUCUGACGCUGAGGCACGAAAGCUAAGGUAGCAAACGGGAUUAGAUACCCUUGUAGUC